This 433-nucleotide ribosomal RNA is filed under the name uncultured bacterium. RNAcentral describes it as "partial 16S ribosomal RNA". It matches the Rfam family "Bacterial small subunit ribosomal RNA", at positions 29 to 507 of the family's 1533-position model. The record is from RNAcentral.
AACGAACGCUGGCGGCAUGCCUAACACAUGCAAGUCGAACGAGACCUUCGGGUCUAGUGGCGCACGGGUGCGUAACGCGUGGGAACCUGCCCUUAGGUUCGGAAUAACUCCCCGAAAGGGGUGCUAAUACCGGAUAAUGUCUUCGGACCAAAGAUUUAUCGCCUUUGGAUGGGCCCGCGUUGGAUUAGCUAGUUGGUAGGGUAAAAGCCUACCAAGGCGACGAUCCAUAGCUGGUCUGAGAGGAUGAUCAGCCACACUGGGACUGAGACACGGCCCAGACUCCUACGGGAGGCAGCAGUGGGGAAUGGUGGACGAUGGGCGAAAGCCUGAUCCAGCAAUGCCGCGUGAGUGAUGAAGGCCUUAGGGUUGUAAAGCUCUUGUACCCGGGAUGAUAAUGACAGUACCGGGAGAAUAAGCUCCGGCUAACUCCGUG